GGCUCUCACGGGCGCAAGGGAACUAGAUGUCGCUUCCUUUUGCCCAGAAAAUAGUAGUUAAUAUUCUGCCACCGGUGCUUCCACCUGAGUCUCGGGCGCGCGCCGUAGCAGCUGGGCCAGCGCGCCGAGGGUACGUCGGCCAGGCCGGUGGCCGGGGGCAGCAGUAACAGGUUGCGUGCGGGCCAGUGCCAGGCGGCACCCGGAGGGUGGCGGCGCUGCGGGCUCAGCCAGUAGUCGCCCAGGCUGCGGCGGGCGGCGGGCGCCGGCAAGACCGGGCCCCGGCUGCCCCAGAAACACAACUCCUGGUCCAGGCGGUGCGGGGCCGUGGCCUGGGGCCGCCGGGACAGAAGAAAAUUCACCACGAAGUGAGCAGUCUCGGUGAAUAGCAUGGUGUCCAGCCGGUCUGGCCCGACUUCGGCCUCUCUUUAAUACCUGCCUGGGCGAGGAGGGGGAGGCCUGAAAACCCAUAUUCCCCCCGGGCCCGGCUGUUUUUAGCAGAAGGCCAGGAGGCGUCAGCUGGCAGAGGGGUUGGGGGCAGAGCUGGUCUCUCUCGUGAGGUCUAGUCUAGUCUGCCCCCACUAGCCGCUUCAGUGGGAGGGGGCUGGUCACCAGAUCUCCAGGUUCCCCAGAGACACUCCUCCCCAGGGUCAAGGACAGAAG
Molecule: long non-coding RNA, 660 nt
Filed under: Homo sapiens (human)
Lineage: Eukaryota; Metazoa; Chordata; Mammalia; Primates; Hominidae
Description: HSALNT0004442
Source: RNAcentral